RNAcentral lists this non-coding RNA (83 nucleotides) under Neotoma lepida (desert woodrat). The record is from RNAcentral. Lineage: Eukaryota; Metazoa; Chordata; Mammalia; Rodentia; Cricetidae.
AUAUUGUAUGAAAGGAGAGAAGGUUAGCACUACAUUGACAAGGAUGGAAGAGGCCCUUGAAAAAGAAUUAAAAAACAUAAUUU